This 840-nucleotide ribosomal RNA is filed under the name uncultured Bacillus sp. RNAcentral describes it as "bacterial SSU rRNA". It matches the Rfam family "Bacterial small subunit ribosomal RNA", at positions 58 to 881 of the family's 1533-position model. The record is from RNAcentral. Lineage: Bacteria; Bacillati; Bacillota; Bacilli; Caryophanales; Bacillaceae.
CAAGUCGAGCGAAUCGAUGGGAGCUUGCUCCCUGAGAUUAGCGGCGGACGGGUGAGUAACACGUGGGUAACCUGCCUGUAAGAUUGGGAUAACUCCGGGAAACCGGAGCUAAUACCGGAUAAUAUUUUGAACCGCAUGGUUUGAAAUUGAAAGAUGGUUUCGGCUAUCACUUACAGAUGGACCCGCGGCGCAUUAGCUAGUUGGUGAGGUAACGGCUCACCAAGGCGACGAUGCGUAGCCGACCUGAGAGGGUGAUCGGCCACACUGGGACUGAGACACGGCCCAGACUCCUACGGGAGGCAGCAGUAGGGAAUCUUCCGCAAUGGACGAAAGUCUGACGGAGCAACGCCGCGUGAACGAUGAAGGCCUUCGGGUCGUAAAGUUCUGUUGUUAGGGAAGAACAAGUACCAGAGUAACUGCUGGUACCUUGACGGUACCUAACCAGAAAGCCACGGCUAACUACGUGCCAGCAGCCGCGGUAAUACGUAGGUGGCAAGCGUUGUCCGGAAUUAUUGGGCGUAAAGCGCGCGCAGGUGGUUUCUUAAGUCUGAUGUGAAAGCCCACGGCUCAACCGUGGAGGGUCAUUGGAAACUGGGGAACUUGAGUGCAGAAGAGGAAAGUGGAAUUCCAAGUGUAGCGGUGAAAUGCGUAGAGAUUUGGAGGAACACCAGUGGCGAAGGCGACUUUCUGGUCUGUAACUGACACUGAGGCGCGAAAGCGUGGGGAGCGAACAGGAUUAGAUACCCUGGUAGUCCACGCCGUAAACGAUGAGUGCUAAGUGUUAGAGGGUUCCGCCCUUUAGUGCUGCAGCUAACGCAUUAAGCCCUCCGCCUGGGGAGU